GAGCUUGCUCCACCGGAAAAAGAAGAGUGGCGAACGGGUGAGUAACACGUGGGUAACCUGCCCAUCAGAAGGGGAUAACACUUGGAAACAGGUGCUAAUACCGUAUAACAAUCAAAACCGCAUGGUUUUGAUUUGAAAGGCGCUUUCGGGUGUCGCUGAUGGAUGGACCCGCGGUGCAUUAGCUAGUUGGUGAGGUAACGGCUCACCAAGGCCACGAUGCAUAGCCGACCUGAGAGGGUGAUCGGCCACAUUGGGACUGAGACACGGCCCAAACUCCUACGGGAGGUAGCAGUAGGGAAUCUUCGGCAAUGGACGAAAGUCUGACCGAGCAACGCCGCGUGAGUGAAGAAGGUUUUCGGAUCGUAAAACUCUGUUGUUAGAGAAGAACAAGGAUGAGAGUAACUGUUCAUCCCUUGACGGUAUCUAACCAGAAAGCCACGGCUAACUACGUGCCAGCAGCCGCGGUAAUACGUAGGUGGCAAGCGUUGUCCGGAUUUAUUGGGCGUAAAGCGAGCGCAGGCGGUUUCUUAAGUCUGAUGUGAAAGCCCCCGGCUCAACCGGGGAGGGUCAUUGGAAACUGGGAGACUUGAGUGCAGAAGAGGAGAGUGGAAUUCCAUGUGUAGCGGUGAAAUGCGUAGAUAUAUGGAGGAACACCAGUGGCGAAUGCGGCUCUCUGGUCUGUAACUGACGCUGAGG
This 696-nucleotide ribosomal RNA is filed under the name uncultured Bacilli bacterium. RNAcentral describes it as "bacterial SSU rRNA". It matches the Rfam family "Bacterial small subunit ribosomal RNA", at positions 76 to 751 of the family's 1533-position model. The record is from RNAcentral. Lineage: Bacteria; Bacillati; Bacillota; Bacilli.